RNAcentral lists this non-coding RNA (183 nucleotides) under Chloroflexota bacterium. Its description in RNAcentral is "Chloroflexi bacterium c-di-GMP sequence". It matches the Rfam family "c-di-GMP-I riboswitch aptamer". From Rfam's summary of the family: GEMM was predicted in a large-scale screen for bacterial structured RNA regulatory elements. Genes associated with GEMM are involved in a diverse array of functions, including chemotaxis regulation, signal transduction, secretion and chitin. The record is from RNAcentral. Lineage: Bacteria; Bacillati; Chloroflexota.
CUUCUAUCAGGGCAAACUGCCGGAGACGGCAGGACGCAAAGCAACGGGGCUUUUUCAAACAUCCAGCUCAUAAUUUCCUCUCUCCCAUUUUAUGAAAGUAUGGAGAGUGUAAUUGUGAGGGGGUAAGUUGCAGGGACAGACCUUCAGGUCUGUCUAAUAUGCCAAGCCAGCCGGGCUGCCGAG